This 253-nucleotide unclassified non-coding RNA is filed under the name uncultured Terriglobia bacterium. Its description in RNAcentral is "uncultured Acidobacteriia bacterium contains 16S-23S intergenic spacer region". It matches the Rfam family "Bacterial small subunit ribosomal RNA", at positions 524 to 776 of the family's 1533-position model. Lineage: Bacteria; Pseudomonadati; Acidobacteriota; Terriglobia. The record is from RNAcentral.
GACGUAGGGGGCCAGCGUUGCUCGGAAUUACUGGGCGUAAAGGGUCCGUAGGCGGUGUGGUAAGUCGGGAGUGAAAUCUCUGGGCUUAACUCAGAGGCUGCUUCCGAAACUGCCGUGCUAGAGUGCGAGAGAGGCAAGUGGAAUUGCGGGUGUAGCGGUGAAAUGCGUAGAUAUCCGCAGGAACAUCCGAGGCGAAAGCGGCUUGCUGGAUCGCAACUGACGCUGAGGGACGAAAGCUAGGGGAGCAAACAGG